CUGCAAGCUCGAGAGUACAUUUCUUG
This 26-nucleotide non-coding RNA is filed under the name Homo sapiens (human). The record is from RNAcentral. Lineage: Eukaryota; Metazoa; Chordata; Mammalia; Primates; Hominidae.